RNA transcript from Ipomoea nil (Japanese morning glory), 850 nucleotides. RefSeq lists it as uncharacterized. The record is from RefSeq and is a predicted model, not a curated record. NCBI's taxonomy places the organism in Eukaryota, Viridiplantae, Streptophyta, Magnoliopsida, Solanales, Convolvulaceae. The transcript has 4 exons.
AUAUGGGCAUGGGAAAGACUACCUAUGGUGAGGCCCCAAGGAAUAUUGCCUUUGAAUAAUCUUGGUGAUUUGCCAUAUGGGGGGAGGUGGUUUCGUUCACAUGAAUGGCCGACAGUAACGACACACGUGAUCCGUGGAUACAGAGACCAAUUUGAUCACUGUACAAAUAAAAAAUUAGAAUUUAGGCCGUAUGACAACAUCUUGCCAUAUCUUCCUGAUUAUUGUCGCGAUUGAGCGGGGAUGUGGACUUCACGGGUGCCACUAGUAUUUUUUUAUGUUAUUGAGUUUCACUACCCCGAUCGAUUUUGCCGGCAGUUUAGGAGUGUGCAGGAUGUCCCACAAGUUGUGCCAUGUACGCGGGAUUUACAUACCAUAGACGGUCGUUCGAGCAGAAAUAUUAGAGAUUGGAGUGUGUAUCAUGGAGAAUACAUUGACUUGUGGAAUAAUAGACAUAAUCACUAUGUCGCUAUGUUCUCUCUCCAGCACAUUGAGGUUACACAUGCUUACAAAGUAUGGUUUCACCGAUAUGGCAGACGCGUUAUCGGUAACCCAGCUCAUGAUUCGCACACGGGUUAUGCCGAAUACGCAACCGAACUACACAAAAUGAGGCAUGUGUUUAAGAAUAUUUCGCUAGAGGCGAUGACCACUUUAGCUGAUCCAAUAAUUGAUCGAGAUGCAACAUUGACGCGUAUCAAUAACAUGUCUCUGGAUAAUUUAGGUGACUAUAAUUUUAUAGUCAAUGUACCUGAUGAGGAUUACUAUGUUGUUCGGCAAGUGAACACUGUGCAAGCUCGUCGUAGAGAUAGAAGACGAGAACGUUGACAGAUGAGGGGUGGUUUGGUGAGAGGUG